RNAcentral lists this long non-coding RNA (413 nucleotides) under Sorghum bicolor (sorghum). RNAcentral describes it as "long non-coding RNA (SBIC_LNC017935)". Lineage: Eukaryota; Viridiplantae; Streptophyta; Magnoliopsida; Poales; Poaceae. The record is from RNAcentral.
UAAAAGAUAGAACAGUCUAGUCAAGUGUCAUGUCUCUUAUUCUUGAUCAGCUAUAGCUCUGGGGUUUUUGCAGAUUUUCAAAUAAAACUCAGAGAUUCCUUGUAUGAUUCUCUCAGGUCUCUCUUUUAUGGUAUUUCUGGAUCCUUACCAAGGCAGUGAUGGUAUAUGCCUUCUCUCAAGAUAUGUAGUAUUUGUGGUAUAAGGCAUAGUGACAUUGCCUUCUCUCUCACCCUACUCUAAUAAGGCUUUAAUAUCUGGAGCUCAUAGGUGGGAGAUAAAAUAUACAUACUUACAAGACAUGUAUUGCAUAGUCAAACCAUGGAUCCAAAGAAACAAAUCAUUAAGUCAAAUCAAGAUGUGCAUGUGUGGCGAAUGAAUGGUGUAUGGUGAUGAUGGUGAUAACAAUGGUGAAA